ACCCACAGGUGUGUCCGGAGCUGGCCCCAGACACAAAGCGCCAAGAAUUGGCGGGGACAUCUCAGCCGGCGGGGACACACCCCGGAGUCCGAGGUCCCCGUCACCAGGGUGCAGCUGCCCAGCUCGCCAAGCUCAGGGCCUUCUCCUCUGUAUUUUCUGUCUGGAAUUCCACGCACCCUAUCUUGAAACAGCUGACACCGGGCCCCAACUUAAAUGUUACCUCUAAGACGUCCUUUUCCCUCAUCUUAAAAUAAACCACCCUUACCCUCCCACUCUCAAUUCCUUUAAGUUAAAUUAUUUCCUUCUUAGUGUUUAUUACUACCUGUAAUUCAUUUCUUUGUUCACUUUUUUAUCAUCAUUCUUCCCUACCAGACUGUCCUCUCCAGAAGCCAGCGCCUUGGCCGUCUGCAUCUCACUGUGUCCUCGGCACUUAGAACAGUCCUGGUGCACAGUAGGUGCGCUUGGUGGGGAUGAGAUCAGUGAACAGAUGAAGGCAGAAGGGCCUUCAUGCCACAGAAGGACAUGGGGACAGGAAAGGGCUCGGCCAGGAUAUCCCUUCCUGUGGCCGACAGUCAACAGAGCCUUCCCCACUGCCAGACCGAAGGUCUCUUCCUCCUCCUAGUAUCCAUGACCUUGGGCCUGCUGGCCCUGGGCAGGGCCAUGGUCACACUCGCCAAGUCCCAAAGCAUCUCAGACCCAUGCCCAGGCCUGAAGAGUGGCUGAGUUCAACAGGAAGGGUGCCAUCUGGGCACUGGACCAGCACCGUGGGAGACCACUUCCCCUGGCUAAGCCUCAGUUUCCUCAUCCGUGACAUAAGGCUACAGCUCCUGUCACCUCAGAAUGGCUGCUAGGACCACAGUGCAGCAAAGGGCUUUGGGGUACUCCACCCCCCUGUUCUUGUAGAAGUCCCCCGACUCCACUGUUCCUGAGCUGGGGGCAGGCCCUCUGCCUCCUAAACCAGACACACUGUGGCCCCACCUACACUUGAACCCAGCCCAGCCAG
This 1003-nucleotide long non-coding RNA is filed under the name Homo sapiens (human). RNAcentral describes it as "non-protein coding lnc-ESPN-4:2". The record is from RNAcentral. Lineage: Eukaryota; Metazoa; Chordata; Mammalia; Primates; Hominidae.